This is a non-coding RNA of Oryza glumipatula, 207 nucleotides long. The record is from Rfam. NCBI's taxonomy places the organism in Eukaryota, Viridiplantae, Streptophyta, Magnoliopsida, Poales, Poaceae.
AAUAAGUGUAGUUUUGCACUAUUCAUGUUCAACGUUUGACCGUUCGUCUUAUUUGAAAUUUUUUUAUGAUUAGUAUUUUUAUUGCUAUUAGAUGAUAAACAUGAAUAGUACUUUAUGUGUGACUAAAUAUUUUCAAAUUUUUCACAAUUUUUUCAAAUAAGACAGACGGUCAAAUGUUGGGCACGGAUAUGCACGGCUGCACUUAUU